CCUACGGGAGGCUGCAGUGAGAAAUAUUGGUCAAUGGACGAGAGUCUGAACCAGCCAAGUAGCGUGAAGGAUGACUGCCCUAUGGGUUGUAAACUUCUUUUAUAUGGGAAUAAAACGUUCCACGUGUGGGAUUUUGUAUGUACCAUAUGAAUAAGGAUCGGCUAACUCCGUGCCAGCAGCCGCGGUAAUACGGCGGAUCCGAGCGUUAUCCGGAUUUAUUGGGUUUAAAGGGAGCGUAGGUGGAUUGUUAAGUCAGUUGUGAAAGUUUGCGGCUCAACCGUAAAAGUGCAGUUGAAACUGGCAGUCUUGAGUACAGUGGAGGUAGGCGGAAUUCGGGGUGUAGCGGUGAAAUGCUUAGAUAUCACGAAGAACACCGAUUGCGAAGGCAGUUCACUGGACUGCAACUGACACUGAGGCUCGAAAGUGUGGGUAUCAAACAGGAUUAGAUACCCCAGUAGUC
Molecule: ribosomal RNA, 460 nt
Filed under: uncultured bacterium
Lineage: Bacteria
Description: partial 16S ribosomal RNA
Rfam family: Bacterial small subunit ribosomal RNA
Source: RNAcentral